This 253-nucleotide ribosomal RNA is filed under the name uncultured bacterium. RNAcentral describes it as "partial 16S ribosomal RNA". It matches the Rfam family "Bacterial small subunit ribosomal RNA", at positions 524 to 776 of the family's 1533-position model. The record is from RNAcentral.
UACGGGGGGAGCAAGCGUUGUUCGGAUUUACUGGGCGUAAAGGGCGCGUAGGCGGCGAUCACAGUCAGAUGUGAAAUUCCUGGGCUUAACCUGGGGGCUGCAUUUGAUACGUGGUUGCUUGAGUGGGGAAGAGGGUCGUGGAAUUCCCAGUGUAGAGGUGAAAUUCGUAGAUAUUGGGAAGAACACCGGUGGCGAAGGCGGCGACCUGGUCCUUGACUGACGCUGAGGCGCGAAAGCGUGGGGAGCAAACAGG